Molecule: long non-coding RNA, 4183 nt
Organism: Equus caballus (horse)
Lineage: Eukaryota; Metazoa; Chordata; Mammalia; Perissodactyla; Equidae
Source: Ensembl
UAUUAUCAAAGUCUUUUUUAAAGUCUUAGUUAAUACAUAUGUAUGAUCUCUCCAAGGACAAUUUUAUUUGAUUCAUCCUGCAACCAGCUCCUACUGCAUAUGUAACUUCAGUAAGCUUCAGAGGAUAAUGAGGUGGUGUGGUCCACUGUGUCGAGCAAUUACUGGGCUUCAAGAGUUUCCUAAUCCUUUCUGAGGUUCCAGGAAAACUCUUCCUGGGUCCGUGGGCAUGGGUGACAGUCUGUGCCACCCUCAAAGUAGUCAGGAGAUUGGAAUUCCAUGGUGAUUCUCUGCUACAUAGCAAGGGCCUGGCUCAAAGCCUUAGUAGCAUUCCAGAGGCAUUCUACCCACAAUGCCUUUUAUAGAUCUUUGCUUUUAAUGUCUCCCUCAAACUAUUUUCAAAAGCAAAGACAAAUAAAAAGGUCGCCAUUUCCAUUUAGUAUUUCAGCUCCUUUGUUUUUUUGUUAGUCUUUUGAUUAAAACAAAUAAAUCAAAAACCACAAAACUUUUCAUUUUUCCUGAGAGUUUACCUCUUACAGGGUUCACAACAAAAUAGACCAUCCAAACUCCCUUCAGAGUCUCAUAAACGACAGGGCUUCAGCUAUGCAACAGGGAGUUUGCGCCACUGACCAAUGUCAAGUUGAAUAAUCUCCUAUGACUUUUGUUCAUCCACAGAAAAGAGGCUUUUUUUAAUAGAGAUUGAAAGAAUUGCUCUGCACUUGGUUAUUCGAAUGCUGAUCUUUGAACUGCCCAAGACAGAAGGGAGUUAAAGAACAGCAGUGAAGAAGAAAGUCAACUGAAAGGGAGCCAAUAUUGGUUGGAUAUCUCCUAUGGUGCAGGCAUUGUAAAAAAUUGCAUUCUGCGGACAGAGAGAUCUGCUGGGAAACCACAGACCAACACCCCAGGCACUAAACAGUACAGUCCUAUUCCACAGCCUGCUCAGACCCUGCUCCUGCUGUUGUCCAUGUGUGAGACCCAGCCUCGCACUCCCUUGACCAUGACGUGAGUUAUUGACUGCUCAUCACUCUGGGGCCGGUAGGACUCUGCCUGUGGAUAUUUCCUCGUGUUGUCAGGUGAUUGUGAAUUACAUGCUGACAUAACCCUAAAGUGGAUCACGUCACUAUGAAACCAUCACUUGGCAGUGGCUCUGAAGAGCAGAGGGGAAGAGAAUUCCAUCAAACAGGAAGACUUUUGCACCAGACAUCUGUCAUUCACUCUACGUGAAAGAAGAUAUGGCUAGUGAUAAAGAUCUUACUCAACUGUGGGCAGUGGUAAAUGUUUGGAAGAAAUGCAACUGGAAAACUGACGACGACUUAUAUAAAUGGACCUCUCAAAAUGGUAAUGAAUGGAGAUAUCUGUAUCCUGUAGCAAUAUUCACCAAAAGACAUCUUCCAUGAAUGAGAUUUUUAAUAAAUGAGAUGCAAAAAAUGACAAGCACUAUGUAUGUUCAAUGGAUUAAUGAACAACAGGACAAAGGUAAUAGGGAUGGAGAUUUAUGCGUGGGAUCAACAGACAUAGGUUACCUCUUGAUAGGAGUUUUCUGGCUACUACCAUAGUCGCAUUCCCAACCUCCCAGUAGCAGAAGGCAGUGCUGAACCUUUGAUACACCAUCCUUCUUCAGGGCAGGAUAGAACCAGUUACUUGGGGACAAGAUAAUUACAUUGGAUCUCUUCAAUCAUGGAAAUGGCUGCAAUCUGUCCUCACUGGAGUAGAUUCUUAUUCUGGGUAUAGAUUUGCCUUCUCUGUCCCAAACACCUCUACCGGCACUUACUGCAUGCUUUGUUUGCAAUCAAGAUGUCCCCUACAACACUGCCUUUGACCAGUGUACUUAUUUAACAGCAAAAUAAGUGAGGCAAUGUACUUACACCCUGGAAUUCACUCACUGACUCUGACAGACCUAAACCAGUGGCCUUAUGGAAACAUGUGAAAUGGUGUACUGAAGGCUCAGUUAUGGCAAUUCUUGAGUGACAGCCCGAGGAGCUGAAGUAUUAUGCUACAAAUGAGGUCUAUUCUCUGAUUCUCUGAUUAAUAUUUGGUGCCAUUUCUCCCAUAGUCAAAAAACACUUGAUCUGAAACAAAGGAUGGAAGUGGGGGUUGCUUAUCUCUUUAUUGCCCCUAAUAAUUCACACAAAAUUUUUGCUUUCUCUCCCCACAACUUUCAGUUUGCUGGUUUAGAGGAUUUAGUAGCAAUGGUGCUUCCAUCAGGAGAAAUAACUAUUCCACUGAAUUGAAAGCUGAGAUCGCCACCUGGUCCUUGGGUUCUUUCUGACACUGAAUACUCAGGCAGAGGAGUGGAUUACGCUACUGACUUGAGUGAUUGCUCCAAUGGGGGCAUGGAGGAAAUGGUCUACAAGUCAGGAGAUUCCUUAGGACACUAUAGUACUUCAUUUCCAGUGUUAGCAUUUAAUGAAAGUCUACAAGCAAUCAAAGGCAGAACCCCUAAUACCUCACAUGUCUCAUGAAUGAUGGUUUGGGUCACCCUAAAAUGAAAAAAAAACCACAAUCAGCUGAUGUGCAAGCUCAGAAUAAAGGGAACGUAGAGUAGGUGGUGGAGGCAGGAAUUAUGGCUAUGUGACUACUUGCAGAAAUGGAGAUUGUAGCAUCUAUUAAUAUUUUUCUUGCUUGUUUUGUUAUGUAUGUACUUUUUAAAUAUCAACCAUUCUCCCUUCCCAUACUAUCUAUUAAAAGCCGUGUUAACAAUGUUAACAGUGAUUAAUGCUAUAAAUCUAAUCUUCAAGUUACAAGAUAACAGAGAGAUCGUGACUGCUGGAAAAAAAUAUUACCCAAAGAUGAAUACAGGGACAUAAUGGAAUUUACAUCUCAACCUUUGGAGAAGAGGUGGGCAAGUCUUCAGUGAAUCAAGGAAUUGAAUUGUACUAGAUAGAAGAAGGAUGCUGUUUUUAUUGUUAUUUGGAAGUUUAAUUAUGUCUAAAAGGAUAAAUAUGGAUGCUGAAUUGACAAAGUAUAUUGCAGAAGAGAAGCUGAAAACUACACUUCCCAGAAUCCACUUCCCUAUGUAAUCACAGAUUCUGGUCUGAGAAUAAGAGGCACCAGAGAGAUUCAGAAGGUAGAAGAGGAAAGGCACCAGAGGGAAUAGGAGAUAGAUGUUUGGGGCCAACCACAGAUGUGAGGUUCAAAGCAGCUGUAUUAUACUCAGAAUAUGCCGAGUAACUUCUGUUUUCCUUACUGAAGCCUGCCCGAUUCUGUGAGAAAGCAAAAAAUCCCCUCCUCUGGGUUAAGAAUAAAAUGAGUAUUCCUCACCAACUUUCCUGCAAUCUAAACCCUUGAGGUAUUUAAGUUUGUGACCCUGGAAUGCAUGAUGGUUUAUGAUAAAAGGCCUCUAAACUAGUCCUCUGCCCUCAAGCAGCUUUGAAAACAGAAUAUAUACAUUAAGAGAAAAUGAAAAUAUAAAGUAACAUGACCUAAGAAAGAAAUGAGUGUAUAGAGGAAAUCUCUCCAAAAUUUCAGAGGUAGCACCAAUCUCUCUCUCACUUCAGAGUCUUUGCGUGCACCUUCUCCACUGCCUGGAAACUUCUCGAUUCCAAGGCCAAUCCUUUUGCUUCUUCAGGUCUUAAAUGUCAGUUCUUCCUGGAUUGACCACCCAAUCUAAAUUAAGUUUUCUUAUUCUCUUUCCCAGCACCCAGUUUCUUUGCCUUCACUGCACUAAUUGCUAUUUGAAAUGGUUUAUGUAUCUCCAUAUCUGUGUGCUCAGCACAUAUCUCCUCCAUCAGACUGUAAACUCCAAGAGGACCAAGGCCAUGUCUUUUUUGUUUACUGCUUCACAUCCAGUACCUAGAAAACAGAAAAGACGGUCUUUCCAGGGAAUGGGAAAUGAAGACGGAAAAUAUCCUUGCCUUUCCCAUGUAUUCUUCGAUUUCUAUUCUAUGGGACAGUGCCGCUCUAGAUAUUUGGAUGAAAGGUGGCCAUAUGGAAGAAAUGCCUUCCCGUCUCAUCCAAGAGCCCAAGGUGUCCCUCCACAGGUGGUAUUUGGUGAAGGUGAAUGAUAAAGAUCAGAUUCAAGUAAGAAAAAUCAGAAGUGAACACCAUAGAGUCUGAAGACAAUGGUGUGUAUAGCAGACACUGUCAAUCCCUUACUCAUGUGCCCUCAGCACUCAUCCUUCCAUAAACACUGACUGCUUCUUCCUGAACACACUCAAACAUUUCCUGAAGAGUGCUCUGAUAGCAG